RNA transcript from Parus major (Great Tit), 2700 nucleotides. It is a transcript of the gene named transmembrane 9 superfamily member 2-like, with no coding region annotated. The transcript has 18 exons. The record is from RefSeq and is a predicted model, not a curated record. NCBI's taxonomy places the organism in Eukaryota, Metazoa, Chordata, Aves, Passeriformes, Paridae.
CCCCGCCUCCGACGGUGCUGAGGCCGCCUCCGCAAGGCGCUGCCCGGGGCGGUCGGUGCUUCAGUUGCACCUCAUGGUGCCUUUGCCCGUUCAGGCUGUAAGAUGAGGCUGCUGGCUGCCACACUCUUGCUGGUGGCGCCUCUCGGCGCUGCCUUCUACCUGCCCGGACUGGCGCCCGUCAGCUUCUGCGAGGAGGGCGAGGAAACCGAAAGCUGCAAGUCACUAAUUGAGCUCUUCGUGAACCGGCUGGACUCUGUUGAAUCAGUUCUGCCAUACGAAUAUGAUGCUUUUGACUUCUGUCAAGAUAAGGAAGAGAAAAGACCAUCAGAAAAUCUUGGACAAGUGCUGUUUGGGGAGAGAAUAGCAUCAUCUCCAUAUAAGUUCACUUUUAAAAAGCAAGAAACUUGCAAGAAGGUUUGUACAAGAACAUAUGAUCCAGGAAACAGUGCUGAUAAAAGCAAACUGGCUUUUUUGAAGAAAGGAAUGCAAUUGAAUUAUCAGCAUCACUGGAUUAUCGAUAACAUGCCUGUAACAUGGUGUUAUGAUGUGGAAGAUGGACAAAAAUACUGUAAUCCAGGAUUUCCAAUAGGAUGUUUUGUUACUCCAGAUGGUAGAGUUAAAGAUGCUUGUGUUAUAAAUUCAGAGUUUAACAAGAAGAACACUUUCUACCUCUUCAACCAUGUUGACAUAACAAUCAUGUACCACAGUGGGAAGGAUGAAAACUGGCCUGGUGCAAGACUGGUGAUGGCAAGACUGAGACCACAAAGCUACAAGCAUACAGAUGAGAACAACUUAAGCUGUGAAGGCCCACCUAUGGAGAUUCCUGGAGAAUUUACCAAUAAACUGAAUUUGGUUUACACUUACUCUGUGACAUUUGAAGAAAAGAAUAGUAUUAAGUGGGCUUCCAGAUGGGACUACAUUUUGGAGUCAAUGCCGCAUACAAACAUUCAGUGGUUUAGUAUAAUGAAUUCCCUUGUAAUUGUUCUCUUCUUAUCUGGCAUGGUGGCUAUGAUCAUUCUGAGGACUCUUCAUAAAGAUAUUGCAAGAUACAACCAGAUUGACUCUUCUGAAGAUGCCCAAGAGGAAUUUGGCUGGAAGCUGGUUCAUGGAGAUGUAUUCAGACCUCCAAGGAAGGGAAUGUUACUGUCUGUUUUUUUGGGCCAAGGAACUCAAAUUUUCAUUAUGACGUUUAUUACUUUAUUCCUAGCUUGCCUUGGUUUCCUUUCUCCUGCCAACCGUGGUGCUCUGAUGACCUGUGCAGUUGUAUUGUGGGUUUUACUAGGAACUCCAGCUGGUUACGUGUCUGCUAGAAUGUACAAGACAUUCAGAGGUGAGAAGUGGAAGACCAACGUCUUGCUUACAGCUCUGCUCUGCCCUGGGAUUGUCUUUGCUGAUUUCUUCAUUAUGAAUCUCAUUCUGUGGGUGAAAGGCUCCUCAGCUGCCAUCCCUUUUGGCACUUUGGUUGCUAUCCUUGCUAUGUGGUUUGGAAUUUCAGUCCCACUAACCUUUGUUGGUGCCUAUUUUGGCUUCAAAGAGAAGCCUAUUGAACAUCCAGUGCGUACAAACCAGAUUCCUCGCCAAAUCCCAGAGCAGUCAUUUUUCACAAAGCCAUUACCUGGUAUCAUCAUGGGUGGUAUCUUACCCUUUGGCUGUAUUUUUAUUCAACUUUUUUUCAUUCUGAAUAGCAUUUGGUCUCAUCAGAUGUACUACAUGUUUGGAUUCCUGUUCCUAGUUUUUAUAAUCCUUCUAAUUACGUGUUCAGAGGCUACAGUUUUGCUGUGCUACUUCCAUCUGUGUGCAGAGGACUAUCACUGGUGGUGGAGGUCAUUCUUGACCAGCAGCUUUACAGCAGUUUAUCUCUUUAUCUAUGCAGUCCAUUACUUCUUCUCUAAACUCCAGAUAACAGGAACUGCCAGCACCAUUUUAUACUUUGGUUACACAAUGAUCAUGGUCUUGAUUUUUUUCCUUUUCACAGAUUGUGUUUAGAAUCUGAGAUUCUGAAGCACCCACCACUGUGCAGUGAUUGAAACCAGUAUGAUACAGAGAGCUUUUAAGGGACUAUUGGAUUUUUUGCCUGCUUCUGGUUUGUAAGUAAGAUUUACAGCGUUGUGAAGGUGGACUGAAAAGCUCCAAAGUGUCUUUUGAACAUAUCUCCCUUGCUGUUUGAUAAUUUUUACCAUGUAUUGAAAAACAUCCUGUGUAAUUAUUUUGAUUUGUAAAAGUGGAAGACCAGACCACAGCAUAAAAUUCAGAUUUUUAUUGAAGAAAAUGGCACCAUUGCCAUUUUGAUAUAAACAGAAAUGUUUACAUCAUCAUAUGCUUAUUGAAUAUGUUAAUUAUAGUAAUUCAAAAAUUAUAUCCAAAAUUUGAGUUAGAACAAAUAAGAAUUCUAUGAACUAGUUUAUUUGAAAAAUUGAGUGCAUUAUGCAGUUCUCCAGCUGGAUUUCCUUCUGACUAGGGCUUGGGGUUUUUUUGUUACCUCUUUUGGUUACCAUUUAUAUGCCAUGAAAGCCUAGGACUGUCAAGUAAAUCUAUGUAAAAUGUGAAUUUUUUUUUAACUUAACUAUGAUUGUACAUAUUAUCCUGCACCUUCUUUACAGCUAGGUUAUCUUCUUACAAAUGUACAUGCAUUUAGUGUAAUGUAGACUUUAUUAAAAAUAUCGACACUGGUUUUUGUUCAAAUAAAACUGCACAACUCCA